RNAcentral lists this ribosomal RNA (855 nucleotides) under gamma proteobacterium Tree5_3fI. RNAcentral describes it as "bacterial SSU rRNA". It matches the Rfam family "Bacterial small subunit ribosomal RNA", at positions 22 to 873 of the family's 1533-position model. The record is from RNAcentral. Lineage: Bacteria; Pseudomonadati; Pseudomonadota; Gammaproteobacteria.
GCUCAGAUUGAACGCUGGCGGCAGGCCUAACACAUGCAAGUCGAGCGGUAGAGAGAAGCUUGCUUCUCUUGAGAGCGGCGGACGGGUGAGUAAAGCCUAGGAAUCUGCCUGGUAGUGGGGGAUAACGUUCGGAAACGGACGCUAAUACCGCAUACGUCCUACGGGAGAAAGCAGGGGACCUUCGGGCCUUGCGCUAUCAGAUGAGCCUAGGUCGGAUUAGCUAGUUGGUGAGGUAAUGGCUCACCAAGGCGACGAUCCGUAACUGGUCUGAGAGGAUGAUCAGUCACACUGGAACUGAGACACGGUCCAGACUCCUACGGGAGGCAGCAGUGGGGAAUAUUGGACAAUGGGCGAAAGCCUGAUCCAGCCAUGCCGCGUGUGUGAAGAAGGUCUUCGGAUUGUAAAGCACUUUAAGUUGGGAGGAAGGGCAGUUACCUAAUACGUGAUUGUUUUGACGUUACCGACAGAAUAAGCACCGGCUAACUCUGUGCCAGCAGCCGCGGUAAUACAGAGGGUGCAAGCGUUAAUCGGAAUUACUGGGCGUAAAGCGCGCGUAGGUGGUUUGUUAAGUUGGAUGUGAAAUCCCCGGGCUCAACCUGGGAACUGCAUUCAAAACUGACUGACUAGAGUGUGGUAGAGGGUGGUGGAAUUUCCUGUGUAGCGGUGAAAUGCGUAGAUAUAGGAAGGAACACCAGUGGCGAAGGCGACCACCUGGACCAACACUGACACUGAGGUGCGAAAGCGUGGGGAGCAAACAGGAUUAGAUACCCUGGUAGUCCACGCCGUAAACGAUGUCAACUAGCCGUUGGGAGCCUUGAGCUCUUAGUGGCGCAGCUAACGCAUUAAGUGACCGCC